RNAcentral lists this ribosomal RNA (386 nucleotides) under uncultured eukaryote. Its description in RNAcentral is "SSU rRNA". It matches the Rfam family "Eukaryotic small subunit ribosomal RNA", at positions 587 to 969 of the family's 1831-position model. The record is from RNAcentral.
AGCUCCAAUAGCGUAUAUUAAAGUUGUUGCAGUUAAAAAGCUCGUAGUUGGAUUUCUGACGUGAGGUGCUUGACCCGCGGACGUUAGUCCUGUGAGUGUCGGUGUGCCUCGGUCAUCCUUCUAGAAAUUGGCAAUGCUAUUCAUUUAGUUGUUGUCAGGAUCUAGAUCUUUUACUUUGAAAAAAUUAGAGUGUUUAAAGCAGGCUUACGCCUUGAAUACAUUAGCAUGGAAUAAUAACUUAGGACUUUGGUUCUAUUUUGUUGGUUUCUAGGACCGAAGUAAUGAUUGAUAGGGAUAGUUGGGGGUGCUAGUAUUCAGCGGCCAGAGGUGAAAUUCUUGGAUUCGCUGAAGACUAACUUAUGCGAAAGCAUUCACCAAGGAUGUCU